CGGCCUUAUUAGUUAUUAAGCCAAUCUACCCUUCUCGGGUAGUUCGUUGGUGAUUCAUUAUAAUGUGUCCAAUCGGUCUUUUUCGAUACAUCGGUAGAAUUUCUGCCCUAUCAGCUUUGGAUGGUAGUGUAGUGGACUACCAUGGCUUUUACGGGUAACGGGGAAUUAGGGUUCGAUUCCGGAGAGGGAGCCUGAGAAACGGCUACCACUUCUAUGGAAGGCAGCAGGCGUGCAAAUUACCCAAUCCCAACACGGGGAGGUAGUGACAAGGAAUACCAAUACUGGAUUCUUUGAAUUCGGUAGUUGGAAUGAGUGUAUUGUAAAGGCCUUAUCGAGGAUCAAUUGGAGGGAAAGUCUGGUGCCAGCAGCCGCGGUAAUACCAGCUCCAAUAGCGUAUAUUAAUGUUGCUGCAGUUAAAAAGCUCGUAGUCGAUUUUCUGGUCUGUCAAACUCGAACUGCACCUUUUACAGGAGCAUGUCUCGAAUCGUUUGCGGGCCAUCUUUCUGGAGAGUGCUUCUUUUCUUGAUUGAGUGGUUGCACAAUUCAGAUCGUUUACUGUGAGCAAAUGGGAGUGUU
This 576-nucleotide ribosomal RNA is filed under the name uncultured eukaryote. RNAcentral describes it as "bacterial SSU rRNA". It matches the Rfam family "Eukaryotic small subunit ribosomal RNA", at positions 202 to 775 of the family's 1831-position model. The record is from RNAcentral.